AUGGGCUUCGUCUAGUGGUUAGGACGUUCGUUUGAUGGACAAAAUACGUGAGUUCAAAUCUCGUAGCCC
RNAcentral lists this transfer RNA (69 nucleotides) under Candidatus Nomurabacteria bacterium. RNAcentral describes it as "tRNA-Ile". It matches the Rfam family "tRNA". From Rfam's summary of the family: Transfer RNA (tRNA) molecules are approximately 80 nucleotides in length. The record is from RNAcentral. Lineage: Bacteria; Candidatus Nomuraibacteriota.